RNAcentral lists this ribosomal RNA (492 nucleotides) under uncultured bacterium. RNAcentral's name for it is "partial 16S ribosomal RNA". It matches the Rfam family "Bacterial small subunit ribosomal RNA", at positions 29 to 507 of the family's 1533-position model. The record is from RNAcentral.
AGUGAACGCUGGCGGUAGGCCUAACACAUGCAAGUCGAACGGCAGCACAGUAAGAUCGUGCGCUUACGGGUGGCGGGUGGCGGACGGGUGAGGAAUGCAUCGGAAUCUACUUUUUCGGGGGGGAUAACGUAGGGAAACUUACGCUAAGACCGCAUACGACCUACGGGGGAAAGCAGGGGAUCGUCGGACCUUGCGCGGUUGGAUUAGCCGAUGUCGGAUUAGUUAGUUGGCCGGGUAAGGACCCACCAAGGCGACGAUCCGCAGCUGGCCUGAGAGGAUGGUCGGCCACACUGGAACUGGGACACGGUCCAUACUCCUACGGGAGGCCGCAGUGGGGAAUAUUGGACAGUGGGCGCAAGCCUGACCCAGCGAUCCCGCGUGGGUGAAGAAGGCCUUCGGGUCGUAAAGCCCUCUUGUUGGGAAAGAACAGCAGCCGGUUAAUACCCCGCUGUUCUGACGGUACCCAAUGAAUAAGCACCGGCUAACUUCGUG